Molecule: ribosomal RNA, 301 nt
Filed under: uncultured bacterium
Lineage: Bacteria
Description: partial 16S ribosomal RNA
Rfam family: Bacterial small subunit ribosomal RNA
Source: RNAcentral
CAGUAGCCACGGGAAUACAGAGGGUGCGAGCGUUAAUCGGAUUUACUGGGCGUAAAGCGUGCGUAGGCGGCUUCUUAAGUUGGAUGUGAAAUCCCUGAGCUUAACUUAGGAAUUGCAUUCGAUACUGGGAAGCUAGAGUAUGGGAGAGGAUGGUAGAAUUCCAGGUGUAGCGGUGAAAUGCGUAGAGAUCUGGAGGAAUACCGAUGGCGAAGGCAGCCAUCUGGCCUAAUACUGACGCUGAGGUACGAAAGCAUGGGGAGCAAACAGGAUUAGAUACCCCCGUAGUCCCUGUCUCUUAUAC